RNAcentral lists this long non-coding RNA (2158 nucleotides) under Nicotiana tabacum (common tobacco). Its description in RNAcentral is "long non-coding RNA (NTAB_LNC005748)". The record is from RNAcentral. Lineage: Eukaryota; Viridiplantae; Streptophyta; Magnoliopsida; Solanales; Solanaceae.
UCAUUUUAGGCCUUGACCAACCAAAAGCACGUUGGUAUAUUUUACCAUCUUCAAGUUAUUUCUUAUUUACUUUAUGGAAUUACAAAAUCCAUACAAUAGACAAGACAUUCUAUGAGGAGCAUAUUCAGCAUUGAAGUUUAGCUACUAAGGCAAUAGUUCUAAACACAACAACUGGUGAUUUCAUCCGAGGCUGAUUCACAACUUCGACUUCAAUACAAUUUCGAGAGUGUACCUGGAAGUAAAGAUGAAACAGAAGGGUGAGGAUUUCAGCAGUAACAGCAGCAGAGUUGGAUUCAGAUCCAAGGAAAUAGUGCACCAGAUUAGUUCAAAACCGUGAAAUGCAACCCAGAAUACCAAGGAUCCAAUUUCGGAUUCACAGUUAAACCAACAAACUCAACAUCCAAGCUAAAUGACUGAAACUCAAACUAUUUCUAGGUCCAAACAGUUAAGAAAUUGAUUCAAGGAGAGAAAAUUUCAGCUUAGCAAAUUCAAACUCAAUGGAACAGUGCUAAAGUUUUCAACUGUUUGCAGAUUUUUAUUUCCAGAUUUUUUUCUCUUAGUCUCAAUCUCUAAGGUCUGUAUUCUCUCUAUUCCUCGUAUCUCAAUGUGUGUUCCCCUUUUAAACUUCAAGCCUCCCUCCCUUUAUCUAUUAGUUAAUCCUUCUUUCCAACCUGUGUAUUCCUUUACACUUGUAUUCCUUUUCUUUUCAUCAUUGCCCCCAUGUUAUCUUAUUUCCAACUUUAUCAAAAGAGGCACUAAAUAGAGUGUCAUUUCCGCUACCAACCCCUUUUCAAUUCUCAAUUAACCCCCCCACUAACUUAAUGCUUUCUUAAUUUAAACAACUAUUGCAAUUCCAACCUCACCACUACCAAAAGCUUCCUAAGUAGGUGAAUACCUUUUUUUUUAUCAAACAACUCUCAAGCUAAAUACAACUAAAUGUGUUCAGGCCAAUAUAAUUGGAGGGCCAGAGAUGUCAUAUUAUUCGAGCUAACAUCUACAAAGUGCAUGGUUAAACCUAUGCUACUUUGAAGUUCCCAGUGAAGGUCUUUAUAGAACAUAAUGUUGGAGAAGCAUAUGACUUAUGUGAUUUAUUGAUGAAUUUAAAUACAAGAAUAUUAGUAGCGAAAGAGAAUGAGCUGCCUCAACCAUUUUGUUCCCAAUCUUGAGUGGCCCAAUUCACUACAGUAAUCAAUUAACAAAUUCCAAUCAAAGCAUUAACUUUACAAAAAUAUGCAAGACCAAACAAUUACCCACAUAGCAUUUGAAUCUACACGUAAUCACACUAAAGAAUAUCAUUUUAUAUAGCUGUGCAAUGCUCAAUCGCUCUCUUUAUAUAUAUCACUUUGACAUGGUUCAAAAUAAAUAAACAUAUGAUCAAAUAUUAGCAUUAAUUAUCUAUCUACUAACAGACUAUUACCACCCCCAAAAACUUUCCAUUGAUUUCCAUCAGAAAAUUACCACAGACACAAAAUUUGGACUGAUUGGGAAAAAACCUCAUACAAGUAUCCUAUAAUCAACAUCUUUGAAUUACCUAGGAUAUACAAAAUAUACAAAGAAGACAUGCCAAUUGAGGUAAUUUCCAGCUACGAUUAAUUCAAACUCAACCACAAGAAGCUUAGACGAAGAAAACCAACAAUCAACUGGCCAAGCAAACAAACCAGUAAUUCAGAACAUCUUUCACCAAACAAACAAGGCACUCAGUCACAUUAGACUUUAAUAUCAAAGCAAGUAAUAAGGAAAACGAAAAACAGACCUGAAAUUAAACGUCAAUUAACGGAAAUUUCCAACAACUCAAGCAACAUAAGUCAACUAUAAAUGCCGAAAUUGGAGACGGACGGAAUUUAAAAAAAAUGUCUUCGAACAGCACCCCCAAUCAAUCAACCUUGGAUCUUCAAUAAACUCAGUUCAACAAUGGCAACAAAAACAACUGUUGGAUUUUUAAAAGAAAAGAGAAGACGAUGGAGAUGAGGUGAGCCGCAGUGGACCCGCCGGCAUGUGACCGUGUGUGUGCUCGAUCUGUCCCUAAAUUUCCCGUCCUUAUUCGAUUCCCCUAUAUUGUUUUUCGUUGUUCUCUUGCAGUUGCUGGUGGUUGACGAGAGAGAAGAGAGCUCCGUUUGGUUUCAGGGGUGGUGGGGUGCGACGGGGAUGAAGUUUUCAG